GAUGAACGCUGGCGGCGUGCCUAAUACAUGCAAGUCGAGCGAACGGACGAGAAGCUUGCUUCUCUGAUGUUAGCGGCGGACGGGUGAGUAACACGUGGAUAGCCUACCUAUAAGACUGGGAUAACUUCGGGAAACCGGAGCUAAUACCGGAUAAUAUUUUGAGCCGCAUGGUUCAAAAGUGAAAGACGGUCUUGCUGUCACUUAUAGAUGGAUCCGCGCUGCAUUAGCUAGUUGGUAAGGUAACGGCUUACCAAGGCAACGAUGCAUAGCCGACCUGAGAGGGUGAUCGGCCACACUGGAACUGAGACACGGUCCAGACUCCUACGGGAGGCAGCAGUAGGGAAUCUUCCGCAAUGGGCGAAAGCCUGACGGAGCAACGCCGCGUGAGUGAUGAAGGUCUUCGGAUCGUAAAACUCUGUUAUUAGGGAAGAACAUAUGUGUAAGUAACUGUGCACAUCUUGACGGUACCUAAUCAGAAAGCCACGGCUAACUACGUG
This 497-nucleotide ribosomal RNA is filed under the name uncultured bacterium. RNAcentral describes it as "partial 16S ribosomal RNA". It matches the Rfam family "Bacterial small subunit ribosomal RNA", at positions 28 to 507 of the family's 1533-position model. The record is from RNAcentral.